Molecule: small nuclear RNA, 155 nt
Filed under: Chinchilla lanigera (long-tailed chinchilla)
Lineage: Eukaryota; Metazoa; Chordata; Mammalia; Rodentia; Chinchillidae
Description: U2 spliceosomal RNA (ENSCLAG00000020886.1)
Rfam family: U2 spliceosomal RNA
About the family: U2 is a small nuclear RNA (snRNA) component of the spliceosome (involved in pre-mRNA splicing). Complementary binding between U2 snRNA (in an area lying towards the 5' end but 3' to hairpin I) and the branchpoint sequence (BPS) of the intron results the bulging out of an unpaired adenosine, on the BPS, which initiates a nucleophilic attack at the intronic 5' splice site, thus starting the first of two transesterification reactions that mediate splicing.
Source: RNAcentral
AUCGCUUCUUGGCCUUUUGGCUAAGAUCAAGUGUAGUAUCUAUUCUUAGCAGUUUAAUAUCUGAUACGUCUUCUAUCUGAGGACAAUAUAUUAAAUGGAUUUUUGGAGCUGGGAGAUGGAAUAGGAGCUUGCUCCGUCCACUCCACAAAAGAAAA